UAGAUACCCGUCUAUUCAUGACAUAAAAUACAGUCAAAUAUUACGAACAACAGUUUAAAAUUCAAAGAUUUUGGCGGUGUCUUAUAAAAUCAGGGGAACCUGUCCCAUAAAUCGAUAAUCCACGCAUACCCAACCUUCUCUAGACUACAGCCUGUAUACUGCCGUUGUAAGUAUACCUCUAAAAGAAUAAGUAUACCACUAUGAUCUCAUAUACAUCAGGUCAAAGUGCAGCCAAUAAGAAGGUGUUGAUGGGUUACAACCACAAAAAAGACUAUCAAUUAAGAAAUAAAAAAUCUUAUGAAAGUGGACUUGACUGUAAUUAAAAAAUAAUAUAACAAAAUGAAUAACUAUCUAAGACAUGCACACAUCGCCCGUCACUCUACCCUAAAGGCUAGAUAAUCGU
RNAcentral lists this ribosomal RNA (403 nucleotides) under Pithemera sp. Aurora. Its description in RNAcentral is "partial 12S rRNA". The record is from RNAcentral. Lineage: Eukaryota; Metazoa; Annelida; Clitellata; Crassiclitellata; Megascolecidae.